Molecule: ribosomal RNA, 434 nt
Filed under: uncultured bacterium
Lineage: Bacteria
Description: partial 16S ribosomal RNA
Rfam family: Bacterial small subunit ribosomal RNA
Source: RNAcentral
AGCGAACGCUGGCGGCAGGCCUAACACAUGCAAGUCGAACGAACCUUUCGGGGUUAGUGGCGGACGGGUGAGUAACACGUGGGAACGUGCCGUUAGGUUCGGAAUAACUCAGGGAAACUUGUGCUAAUACCGAAUGUGCCCUUCGGGGGAAAGAUUAAUCGCCUUUAGAGCGGCCCGCGUCUGAUUAGCUAGUUGGUUGAGGUAAUGGCUCACCAAGGCGACGAUCAGUAGCUGGUCUGAGAGGAUGAUCAGCCACAUUGGGACUGAGACACGGCCCAAACUCCUACGGGAGGCAGCAGUGGGGAAUCUUGCGCAAUGGGCGAAAGCCUGACGCAGCCAUGCCGCGUGAAUGAUGAAGGUCUUAGGAUUGUAAAAUUCUUUCACCGGGGACGAUAAUGACGGUACCCGGAGAAGAAGCCCCGGCUAACUUCGUG